This is a long non-coding RNA of Patiria miniata (bat star), 194 nucleotides long. RefSeq lists it as uncharacterized. The record is from RefSeq and is a predicted model, not a curated record. The transcript has 3 exons. NCBI's taxonomy places the organism in Eukaryota, Metazoa, Echinodermata, Asteroidea, Valvatida, Asterinidae.
GUACCAUUUGACGGAGAUGGUGCCUGCGAGACCUGCAAGUGUCCAAUCAACACUACGACACCGACAUGUGAAAACAUUUGCACAAUCACCUGUCCUCCAUACGAAAAGAUUUACCUCAAUGAGGAUGACCCGACCAAGUGCUGUGAAUGCGGACCAUUGAUAGUUCCCACUACACAACUUGCAACUACAGCAGG